RNAcentral lists this ribosomal RNA (468 nucleotides) under uncultured bacterium. RNAcentral's name for it is "partial 16S ribosomal RNA". It matches the Rfam family "Bacterial small subunit ribosomal RNA", at positions 28 to 507 of the family's 1533-position model. The record is from RNAcentral.
GACGAACGCUGGCGGCGUGCUUAACACAUGCAAGUCGAACGGAAAGGCCCUGCUUUUGUGGGGUGCUCGAGUGGCGAACGGGUGAGUAACACGUGAGUAACCUGCCCUUGACUUUGGGAUAACUUCAGGAAACUGGGGCUAAUACCGGAUAGGAGCUCCUGCUGCAUGGAGGGGGUGGGAAAGUUUCGGCGGUGGGGGAUGGACUCGCGGCUUAACAGCUUGUUGGUGGGGGAGUGGCUUACCAAGGCUGUGACGGGUAGCCGGCCUGAGAGGGUGACCGGCGACAUGAGGCCUGAGAUACGGCCCAGACGCCAACGGGGGGCAGCGGGGGCGAGUAUUGCCCAGUGGGCGCGAGCCGGUGGAGGAGGCCCCCGGGUCGGGAUGACGUCUUUCGGGUAGUAAACCGCUUUCGCUUGUGACGAAGCGGGAGUGACGGUACCGGAUAAAGAAGCACCGGCUAACUUCGUG